This 486-nucleotide ribosomal RNA is filed under the name uncultured bacterium. Its description in RNAcentral is "partial 16S ribosomal RNA". It matches the Rfam family "Bacterial small subunit ribosomal RNA", at positions 29 to 507 of the family's 1533-position model. The record is from RNAcentral.
AUUGAACGCUGGCGGCAUGCUUUACACAUGCAAGUCGAGCGGCAGCGCGGGGGCAACCCUGGCGGCGAGCGGCGAACGGGUGAGUAAUGCAUCGGAACGUAUCCUCGAGUGGGGGAUAACCCAGCGAAAGUUGGGCUAAUACCGCAUGAGCUCUGAGGAGGAAAGCGGGGGACCUGCGAGGGCCUCGCGCUGGAGGAGCGGCCGAUGUCCGAUUAGCUAGUUGGUGGGGUAAAGGCUUACCAAGGCGACGAUCGGUAGCUGGUCUGAGAGGAUGAUCAGCCACACUGGCACUGAGACACGGCCCAGACUCCUACGGGAGGCAGCAGUGGGGAAUUUUGGACAAUGGGGGCAACCCUGAUCCAGCCAUGCCGCGUGAGUGAAGAAGGCCUUCGGGUUGUAAAGCUCUUUCGGACGGAACGAAAUGGGCGGGACUAAUACUCCUGUCUGAUGACGGUACCGUAAGAAGAAGCACCGGCUAACUACGUG